UACGUAGGGCGCAAGCGUUAUCCGGAAUUAUUGGGCGUAAAGAGCUCGUAGGCGGUUCGGUAAGUCGGAUGUGAAAUCUCCACGCUCAACGUGGAGGGGCCAUUCGAUACUGCCGUGACUCGAGUCCGGUAGGGGAGUGUGGAAUUCCCGGUGUAGCGGUGAAAUGCGCAGAGAUCGGGAGGAACACCCGUAGCGAAGGCGGCACUCUGGGCCGGUACUGACGCUGAGGAGCGAAAGCGUGGGGAGCGAACAGG
Molecule: ribosomal RNA, 254 nt
Filed under: uncultured bacterium
Lineage: Bacteria
Description: partial 16S ribosomal RNA
Rfam family: Bacterial small subunit ribosomal RNA
Source: RNAcentral